Molecule: long non-coding RNA, 1640 nt
Filed under: Ceratitis capitata (Mediterranean fruit fly)
Lineage: Eukaryota; Metazoa; Arthropoda; Insecta; Diptera; Tephritidae
Description: uncharacterized LOC110118451, transcript variant X2
Source: RNAcentral
GGGAAAAAAUAGAAAAUAGCGGUAAAAUGAGUAGAAAAAUAAUAUUUAAUAGAAGCUCCCAGUGUGGUUUCCUAUGUCAUUAAGAAUUUCCUUGCUCUGAUGUGCAACGAAAACAAUAGAGAAAUGGUUAUGCCUACCAUUUAUUGCGGUUUAUUUUGUAGGGCUUGGUAGGCUUAACAAUGCCCGCCCAUUACCAACGUAUAAGCGGCUAUGGAAGGUGUGGUAUAAUGCAUUGGUUCGUUCGCUACCUGACAUUGGCUCUUGCGGCGCAGCGCUUUUGAUUAACGUCAAAAAUCAAUCAUUGUUAAUUUAUGAGCACUUCCGUUAGUGCACGACGAAGCUAUUCAACCGCAAAAUGCACUGUGCGUGAUGGCGGCUUCGCAUUGAGGCGUUGCCAACCCACAUAACUCUGGGACUGCACGUGUAUAUGUGACCAUUUGGCGUAAACGAUAAAUAGAAUGUAGCACGCAAUGUGCGAGUAACAGGUGCGUUACUAAUUCUCGUAGAAAAUCUAAACAAAUUUCUUAUUAAGAAUUAGUGCCAAAUGCAGCAAGGUCAAAUUGAUUAAGUAUUUAAUUCAAAGGUUCGCAUAAUUUGUAUGUAAAGAGAUGCCAGCAACACUAGUGCUAGAGGGGGUCGAUACGGCGGCAGAUUAGAGUCUCGACAAGAAGAGCACAGAGCGAUAUGCAUUAUUUGUUAACUGCAGGUGAAUUAACUAAGUGACUAACAGUCCGUACCACCAUACUGAUAUGAAAUUCUGCCCCAACGAAGCUCCAAAGUUGAGGAAAAAAGUUUUUCUAAAUACGAUAGCCGUUGGGCAGGGUAUGUAAACGUCUUGGAGUGUAUUACUGAUACAAAAAAAAGUUCAUCAUAAAAAUCCAUCAGCUGUUCAGAGCGGAGACUUUAAGCGAAACAUCCCGAGGAAAAUCCCAAAAAUGAAGAGAAAUACCUUAAAGCUAAUGAAUCUGAUAGUUGUAUUUUUGGAAUGCAUUAAUAAUCCCAAUACAGCCAACUGAAGUUAUGCUAGAGAACCACGAGAAUAACCCACAAAUUCUUCAGCACGAAUAGAACUCUGCAAUGAGUGUGUGACAAAGCAGGCUUACUAUGUGAUAUUUUAUCCAAUACAUCUAAAAAAAAGGACUCUGGAAGAGAAGAUCUAAUUUUUACAACAAAAACGGUUUCUCUUUUUUUCUUCAUCUCGAUGUUCUAGAAAGAUAUUCAUACCUGUCUUUUCUUGGAACGCGUUUUCGCUUGAAGGUAUUUUGUUGCUGCGCACGCGCUUUUUGUGCGAAUAAGAUGAUUGACUUUAGAAAUACAAUGGUCACCGCAAAACACUUUUUUUUUGGAGGUGUCCCUGGAGAUCUGCUGUAGCGGCUUUAGAAACUGUUAUUUUUAUAAAUAAAAAAAAUUGCUAACCUCUCUGCAAAGGUGCCAAAAUAUGUGCACUAAUGCUCAAAAUAAUAAAGCUAAAAGUUUUCUCGUAAAAAAUGUUUGAGAAAACUCAUUCUUUAGGGUUCCUUAUCAGAUGUAACUCCUUAAGUAAACUAUAAGUUCCUCCAUUUGAUUAAAAAACCUCAAGACUCGCACCAUAAAUUGGAGAAGUGGUUAAAAUCUUUUCAAUGGUUUCAGAUAUAUUAGGC